GCAACGGCUUGUGUGUCUCCUUCUGGUUAAAUUCGUGUCUUUUCGCACGAAUUAAGUAGCACAGAAAUUCGUGUAUUUUCAAACGAAUUGAACCACCCCAAAACACCCCAAAAAUGCACAAAAACGCACGAAAUCUGCUGAAAUACAUUUUGUACAUAUAUGCGCGAAUUGAAUGUGAGACUGUGUUGCAGCCCGAGGUGAUAUAUCGUCGUCUAAUGGUGGAUUUAUGUUCUCCAAGACGAACUUUCAAGGCGCGAGAUGUUCUGCCAAAAUACUUCUCAUUACAAGAACACACACUAGUAUUCUACAAUGUAGAAAAUAGUACAAAUAAAGAGAAACCCUGGAAUUAGUAGGUUAGUCCAAACUUUUGACUGGUACUGAAUAUAUACACUGCUCAAAACAAUAAAGGGAACACUUAAACAACACAAUGUAACUCCAAGUCAAUCACACUUCUGUGAAAUCAAACUGUCCACUUAGGAAGCAACACUGAUUGACAAUAAAUUUCACAUGCUGUUGUGCAAAUGGAAUAGACAAAAGGUGAAAUAUUAUACAUAUAAAUAUUAAAAUAAAUAUUAUCUAAAUAUUUUGAAUUAAAUAAAUGGUUUUAAAAUUAAAAAAGGCUGUUAAUUAAGCGUAAGUGUCCGUAAGACCCAGACACACUUUUUUGUUUGGGGGGUAGGCCUCUGUUUUCCAGGAUAUUGUAAAGGGAGAGAGAGCCUUGAGCGCAACCGCAUAGCCAUUUAUGAACACACACCCCGCCCCGUUUUCUUUGUUUUGAAACACACACACAUCCACUACCGCACACGCACGCACACACACGCGCCCACAUGGCUUUUUCCUUAAGUUUUUUUCUCCGGGGGCAUGCUUGGUGAUAGAUGGAAAGGACUUAUUCCUAUCGUUUAAAGGUGAGAUACCAUUUAUUUAAUUCAAAAUAUUUAGUACGUACAGUUUAUAGCCGUUCAUAAUUAAUGUCUUUUACUAUGCCUUACUAUGCCUUUCUUCCAGAUACAGGUCCUGGUUAGCCCUUUUUCCGCAAGUCUUUUUCUCAGGGACAGACUGUGGUACCUUGCUUUUACACCUGCAUUGCUUGCUGUUUGGGGUUUUAGGCUGGGUUUCUGUACAGCACUUCGAGAUAUUAGCUGAUGUACGAAGGGCUAUAUAAAAUAAACUUGAUUGAUUGAUUGAUUGGUAAGAGUGAAAAACGAGAGAGUUCAGGACGUCGUUAGAUACUGCUUUUAAAAACAUCUUUAUUUCAUUCAAAAAAUCAUGUACAUACAAUUUAUAUCCGUUCAUAAUUAAGGUCUUUUACUAUGCCUUUCUUACAGAUACAGGGGCCUGGUAUAGCCAUCCACCAUUAUCCGUGUCCAAUUCCCCUUCAAACUGCCUGGCUCUCUUGCACGGUCCAUCAAAACUCCAAAGUCAGAGACCUACACGAUCAACAAGAGAAUGGGUGGAGAUGAAUCAAAAGCUCGAGCGGAUCAGGCAGAGAGAGACCGCAAUCAAGCCAGAACUGAUAAACAGAACAUGGAGAUGGACAAGCAGAAAGCGGAGAUGGACAAACAGAAAGCGGAGAUGGACAAACAGAAAGCGGAGAUGGACAAACAGAACAUGGAGAUGGAAAAGAGAAAGACUGAAGAGGAUUACAGGCAUGUCACACCCUGGCCUUAGUAUUCUUUGUUUUCUUUAUUAUUUUAGUUAGGUCAGGGUGUGACAUGGGGAAUGUAUGUGUUUUUGUAGUGUCUAGUGUGGUUGUAUGGUUUAGGGGGUUUUAUAGAGUAGAUGGGUUUGUGUUUAGUAUAGGUGUCUAGCUGUGUCUAUGGUUGCCUGAAUGGUUCUCAAUCAGAGACAGAUGUCAUUAAUUGUCUCUGAUUGGGAGCCAUAUUUAAAGCAGCCAUAGGCACUAGGUUAAUGUUGGUAAUUGUCUAUGUUAUACGUUUGUAGCCUGUGUGUGCACUUACGUCUUUAGCUUCACGAUCGUUUGUUGUUUUGGUUUCAGUUUAUUAAAGUGUUCGUUGCGUGUUUUUUCCUUUUCUCUAAAAUAAAAGAGUAUGUAUUUUGCACACGCUGCGCCUUGGUCCACUCUCUCUUCACUAGACGAUCGUGACAAGGCAGCUCCUUGCUAAGAACGCGAGAAUGGAAACAGAAAAAAAUAUGGAAGAAAAACAAAGACAGGAGCUUGAGAAGGAAAGACAAAAAUUAAUAGAACACAAUAGACAGCGAGAGAAAGAUGAAAGGACAAGAAUUCAUCUGGAAAAAGAAAAAGGAGAUCAGAAAACUGUAUAAAAUGUAUCCAAAUAUUAAGAGACAAGGGCAUAAACUGUUUAAAUCAUCCACAUAAUGAAUUAUUAAACAAAGCACACAAUCAUUGUAUACCUUUAAUAUCCACAAUAUAACUGCUGUUUUAUUUUCCACAAAUUAUGUGCUUAAAGGGAUAGUUCACACAAAUGACAUAGUGGUUUAAUAACCCUGUUAGCCGUUUUUGUUUACCUGGCUGCUGUUACCAAAUGCUUUUUCAAAACCAAUGCAUGUCAAUAUCUGAGAAUCCUCUGUAGCUUUGCAAUAAAUAGAUCCUAUUGA
Molecule: long non-coding RNA, 2577 nt
Organism: Salvelinus fontinalis (brook trout)
Lineage: Eukaryota; Metazoa; Chordata; Actinopteri; Salmoniformes; Salmonidae
Exons: 2
Source: RefSeq, a predicted model, not a curated record